This is a long non-coding RNA of Rhineura floridana, 522 nucleotides long. RefSeq lists it as uncharacterized. The record is from RefSeq and is a predicted model, not a curated record. The transcript has 3 exons. NCBI's taxonomy places the organism in Eukaryota, Metazoa, Chordata, Lepidosauria, Squamata, Rhineuridae.
CAGAAAAAAAACUGCACUUGACCAGUCAAACAGCUUUACACAUGAGGAGACCAAAAGCCUGAAUAACAAUUCCUUGGUGUUUGAAGUGGGAUACAAACAUCUGGUGACUGACUGGUGAGGACCAUGGAUCACUUCCUCUUGAACCCCAGCACCACAUUUAAGGUGCUUCAGAUGGAGAGCUCCAUGACUGCUACUGCCCAGGUCUCCAUACCUCGCAUAGACCUCAAGGACAUGUCCCUACAGAAUCCAGACCUUGUGCUGUAUAUCAAUGGUUCCUGUCUCUGAGACCAGCAAGGGACUCUAGUAGCCAGAUAUGCAGUCUGCAGUCAUCACAAUGUUCUCAAAGCCCACUCUUCACCCUCUGUACACUCUGCUCAAGUCGCUGAAUUAGUAGCCCUCACACGUGCAUGCACCUUAGCUAAGGAUCAGUCUGCUACAAUACACACUGACUCUCAUUAUGCUUUUGGCAUUGACCGUGACUAUGGGCAACUCUGGAAACAACAUGGCUUCCUCACCUCAGGG